RNAcentral lists this ribosomal RNA (253 nucleotides) under uncultured bacterium. Its description in RNAcentral is "partial 16S ribosomal RNA". It matches the Rfam family "Bacterial small subunit ribosomal RNA", at positions 524 to 776 of the family's 1533-position model. The record is from RNAcentral.
UACAGAAGCCCCGAGCAUUAUCCGGAUUUACUGGGCGUAAAGGGUGUGUAGGUGGUGUAAUUAGUCGUGCGUCAAACCUUCGGGCUUAACCCGAAGCGCGCGUACGAAACGGUUACACUAGAGGAUGUGAGAGGUGUGCGGAACUCAAGGUGUAGGGGUGAAAUCCGUUGAUAUCUUGGGGAACACCAAAAGCGAAGGCAGCACACUGGCACUCUCCUGACACUGAAACACGAAAGCGUGGGUAGCGAAUCGG